This 254-nucleotide ribosomal RNA is filed under the name uncultured bacterium. RNAcentral describes it as "partial 16S ribosomal RNA". It matches the Rfam family "Bacterial small subunit ribosomal RNA", at positions 524 to 776 of the family's 1533-position model. The record is from RNAcentral.
UACGGGGGGGGCAAGCGUUGUUCGGAAUUACUGGGCGUAAAGGGCUCGUAGGCGGCCAACUAAGGCAGACGUGAAAUCCCUCGGCUUAACCUGGGAACUGCGUCUGAUACUGGAUGGCUUGAGUUUGGGAGAGGGAUGCGGAAUUCCAGGUGUAGCGGUGAAAUGCGUAGAUAUCUGGAGGAACACCGGUGGCGAAUGCGGCAUCCUGGACCAACACUGACGCUGAGUGAGCGAAAGCCAGGGGAGCAAACGGG